This 72-nucleotide transfer RNA is filed under the name Pseudomonadota bacterium. RNAcentral's name for it is "tRNA-Gly". It matches the Rfam family "tRNA". Rfam says of the family: Transfer RNA (tRNA) molecules are approximately 80 nucleotides in length. Their secondary structure includes four short double-helical elements and three loops (D, anti-codon, and T loops). The record is from RNAcentral. RNAcentral also lists the same sequence under 9 other names. Lineage: Bacteria; Pseudomonadati; Pseudomonadota.
GCGGGUGUAGCUCAGUGGUAGAGCGUCACGUUGCCAACGUGAAUGUCGAGGGUUCAAGUCCCUUCACCCGCU